GUCUACGGCCAUCUCACCCUAAACGAGCCCGAUCCCGAUCCCGUCUGAUCUCGGAAGCUAAGCAGGGUAGGGCCUGGUUAGUACUUGGAUGGGAAACCACCUAGGAAGACCAGGUGCUGUAGGCG
This 125-nucleotide ribosomal RNA is filed under the name Pteropus alecto (black flying fox). Lineage: Eukaryota; Metazoa; Chordata; Mammalia; Chiroptera; Pteropodidae. The record is from RNAcentral. RNAcentral also lists the same sequence under 1 other name.